This 251-nucleotide ribosomal RNA is filed under the name uncultured bacterium. Its description in RNAcentral is "partial 16S ribosomal RNA". It matches the Rfam family "Bacterial small subunit ribosomal RNA", at positions 57 to 305 of the family's 1533-position model. The record is from RNAcentral.
GCAAGUCGAGGGGUAACAUUGUAGCUUGCUACAGAUGACGACCGGCGCACGGGUGCGUAACGCGUAUGCAACCUACCUUAUACAGGGAGAUAGCCCAGAGAAAUUUGGAUUAAUAUCCCAUAGUAUUAUUAACUGGCAUCAGUUGAUAAUUAAAGUUCCGGCGGUAUAAGAUGGGCAUGCGUGAUAUUAGCUAGAUGGUAAGGUAACGGCUUACCAUGGCGACGAUAGGUAGGGGUCCUGAGAGGGAGAUC